CGUGCCUAAUACAUGCAAGUCGAGCGAUGAUUGAAGAUAGCUUGCUAUUUUCAUGAAGAGCGGCGAACGGGUGAGUAACGCGUGGGAAAUCUGCCGAGUAGCGGGGGACAACGUUUGGAAACGAACGCUAAUACCGCAUAACAAUGAGAAUCGCAUGAUUCUUAUUUGAAAGAAGCAAUUGCUUCACUACUUGAUGAUCCCGCGUUGUAUUAGCUAGUUGGUAGUGUAAAGGACUACCAAGGCGAUGAUACAUAGCCGACCUGAGAGGGUGAUCGGCCACACUGGGACUGAGACACGGCCCAGACUCCUACGGGAGGCAGCAGUAGGGAAUCUUCGGCAAUGGGGGCAACCCUGACCGAGCAACGCCGCGUGAGUGAAGAAGGUUUUCGGAUCGUAAAACUCUGUUGUUAGAGAAGAACGUUAAGUAGAGUGGAAAAUUACUUAAGUGACGGUAUCUAACCAGAAAGGGACGGCUAACUACGUGCCAGCAGCCGCGGUAAUACGUAGGUCCCAAGCGUUGUCCGGAUUUAUUGGGCGUAAAGCGAGCGCAGGUGGUUUCUUAAGUCUGAUGUAAAAGGCAGUGGCUCAACCAUUGUGUGCAUUGGAAACUGGGAGACUUGAGUGCAGGAGAGGAGAGUGGAAUUCCAUGUGUAGCGGUGAAAUGCGUAGAUAUAUGGAGGAACACCGGAGGCGAAAGCGGCUCUCUGGCCUGUAACUGACA
RNAcentral lists this ribosomal RNA (721 nucleotides) under Lactococcus garvieae. RNAcentral describes it as "bacterial SSU rRNA". It matches the Rfam family "Bacterial small subunit ribosomal RNA", at positions 43 to 745 of the family's 1533-position model. The record is from RNAcentral. Lineage: Bacteria; Bacillati; Bacillota; Bacilli; Lactobacillales; Streptococcaceae.